GUGGAUUAGAUACCCUAGUAGUCCACGCCCUAAACGAUGUCUACUAGUUGUCGGGUCUUAAUUGACUUGGUAACGCAGCUAACGCGUGAAGUAGACCGCCUGGGGAGUACGGUCGCAAGAUUAAAACUCAAAGGAAUUGACGGGGACCCGCACAAGCGGUGGAUGAUGUGGAUUAAUUCGAUGCAACGCGAAAAACCUUACCUACCCUUGACAUGUCUGGAACCCUGCUGAGAGGUGGGGGUGCUCGAAAGAGAACCGGAACACAGGUGCUGCACGGUUGUCGACAGCU
RNAcentral lists this ribosomal RNA (289 nucleotides) under uncultured bacterium. Its description in RNAcentral is "partial 16S ribosomal RNA". It matches the Rfam family "Bacterial small subunit ribosomal RNA", at positions 773 to 1060 of the family's 1533-position model. The record is from RNAcentral.